ACGUGAAAUUGUUGACUG
Molecule: microRNA, 18 nt
Filed under: Ciona intestinalis (vase tunicate)
Lineage: Eukaryota; Metazoa; Chordata; Ascidiacea; Phlebobranchia; Cionidae
Description: cin-miR-4104-5p
Source: miRBase by way of RNAcentral